RNAcentral lists this transfer RNA (91 nucleotides) under Zoogloea sp. Its description in RNAcentral is "tRNA-Ser". It matches the Rfam family "tRNA". From Rfam's summary of the family: Transfer RNA (tRNA) molecules are approximately 80 nucleotides in length. Their secondary structure includes four short double-helical elements and three loops (D, anti-codon, and T loops). Lineage: Bacteria; Pseudomonadati; Pseudomonadota; Betaproteobacteria; Rhodocyclales; Zoogloeaceae. RNAcentral also lists the same sequence under 13 other names. The record is from RNAcentral.
GGAGAGGUGGAUGAGCGGUUUAAGUCGCACGCCUGGAAAGCGUGUUUAGGAUAAUAUCCUAACGAGGGUUCGAAUCCCUCCCUCUCCGCCA